GCCUGUACAAAUACAGUGUGACAUCAGGUGUGACACGAGGACCUUAAACAUAAACAUAAACAACAGAUAUUAGCUGCACAGGAAGAGAUGAAAUACAUCUUUACACCAUACAAAUACGUUUUUUUCAAUUCAGACUGGUCUGGUUGUGACAGUUUGUGCCAUUAGGGAGCAGGGAAGGAAACAUUUGCGGUGUCAUUUCUACUUUCCGUCCUGGUGGACUGAAGGCGGCAGGAGACUAAUAAAGCACCUUUCCACUUCAUUGCCUCAUAAAUCCUAAUACGUUUCAUAAAUGAACUGCCACACCCGCCGCUCUCUUACUUAGCUCCCCGUGUUCAUUUGGCUGCGUGACUGCAGACAGAUUCAUUUACCAGUGGCCUCGAGCCACCGCCGCCGCCGUCGCCGGGACCCAUUUCAAACGCGCCGCGUUCGCCGCUGCGUGGAUUACAAGCUCGCGCGCGCGCGCGCUCCGGUUCCAUCAAACGUCACCUCCGUCGGCUCGCGGAGGCUGGGAGCCGAUGCGCUCGUGCUCGCGCGGCUUGUGGCGGCUCGGUCGUGAGGUGAGGGGGCGGAUCAUGGCAGACGGCGACGCGUUUGAUCGCUUUAAAAAAAAAAAGCGAUCUUCUUUUUUUGGGACCGUGCACUCGAGCGAUUAGCGGCGUUUGCGCAGGCGCGAUGUGAAUUCUCACCUCGGGGCGACGCGGGGAAACUCUAAAUAAGGCUGAAGGUCUCAACCAAGGAUUGAAGUCACGUUGAGCAUCGGCGUGAUUUGAUACAAUUCUCUUUAUUUGUAUGAGUCAGCGGCGGUCUGUUCAGCAGGACACAAAGAAACACAAGGCUCAGUCCAUCUGGAUCCACAGUGGUCUCUGGAGAGCAAACAACCAGGAAGGAACUCAUAACCCCCCUCCUCCCCCCUCCUCCCCCCGUCUGGCAGAGACCUCUCCCGCUCGUCUCCCCUCUCUCUUGCUGUCUUCUUUCGUUCCGUCGCACCUCGUGAGCUAUCACUGUGCCACCCGCCGCCACAGACCUUUCGCAUCCUCCCUCGACGCUGCGGCCAUUUAACAAAGGCUUUACUCUCGAGUGACCACUACGCUGGUGUAUUUUCCGCAUUCCGCCGAACGUCGCGGCUCGAGUUUAUGAGUUGUUGCCUCCUCCAUCACAUUGUCUAUUCGCACAGGCCAUAUGUAGGCCACAGAAACAGAGCCAGCGGAGAAGAUGUCCUAUUCCCUGUUAUCAUCUGUUGGAAAAUAAAUAUCUGAGCAUGUCCA
Molecule: long non-coding RNA, 1265 nt
Filed under: Betta splendens (Siamese fighting fish)
Lineage: Eukaryota; Metazoa; Chordata; Actinopteri; Anabantiformes; Osphronemidae
Description: lncRNA (ENSBSLG00000005738.1)
Source: RNAcentral